ACCUCUGAGGGUGUGCUGCGGUAUCUGGCACCAAGACGUUAGCAGCAGAUCCUUUAGGUCCUGUACGUUGCAAGGUGGGGUCUCCAUGGAUCAGACCUGUUUGGCCAGCACAUCCCACAGAUGAUAUAUGAUAUGAGAUAAUCAGUGUUAUUCACUCGGAUUGUUUUAAAGGUUAUAACAUGAGCAGUUUUGCCUCAAAUUGCCUCACAUUGAGUUAGAGGUUAUAACGUGAGCAGCUUUGCCUCAAAUUGCCUCAGAUUGUGUUUGAGGUUAUAACGUGAACAGUUUUGCCUCAAAUUGCCUCAGAUUGUGUUUGAGGCUAUAACGUGAACAGUUUUGCCUCAGAUUGUGCUAGAGGUUAUAACAUGAGCAGGUUUGCCUCAAAUUGCCUCAGAUUGUGUUAGAAGUUAUAUUGUGGAUAAUUUUGUCCCACCUUGCUUCAGAUUGUUAAAGGUUAUAAUGUUGAUAGUUUUGCCUCAGAUUUGCCUCAGAGCAAUAUCUAAAAAUGUUCCAAUAUAGGGCCUGAGUGUAUAAAAGUGAACUACUCAGUUCGGUGCCUCUUCUGUAGUUUACUUUAAAUAAUUCAUUCUACCAAAUAAAUACAUGUUAAUGAAGAAGUUCACACAUUUCUUGCGUCAAGGUUUAACAAGCGAGCUGAAAGGCAGUUCAGCAGCACACCGAUGAACUGACACACAGCCCACGCCGUGUGGAAACAGAUGAGGGUUCUUGACUUUUUUGUCCUCCAUCACAGCAAGAGGAAGAGAGAGAGGGAGCGUGCUGGAGGACAUUAGAA
This is a long non-coding RNA of Ictalurus punctatus (channel catfish), 793 nucleotides long. The record is from Ensembl. NCBI's taxonomy places the organism in Eukaryota, Metazoa, Chordata, Actinopteri, Siluriformes, Ictaluridae.